CCUACGGGGGGCUGCAGUAGGGAAUAUUGCUCAAUGGGGGAAACCCUGAAGCAGCAACGCCGCGUGGAGGAUGAAGGUUUUCGGAUUGUUAACUCCUUUUGUUAGAGAAGAUAAUGACGGUAUCUAACGAAUAAGCACCGGCUAACUCCGUGCCAGCAGCCGCGGUAAUACGGAGGGUGCAAGCGUUACUCGGAAUCACUGGGCGUAAAGAGCGAGUAGGCGGGAUAGCAAGUCAGAUGUGAAAUCCUAUGGCUUAACCAUAGAACUGCAGUUGAAACUGUUAUUCUUGAGUAUGGGAGAGGUAGGUGGAAUUCUUGGUGUAGCGGUAAAAUCCAUAGAUAUCAAGAGGAAUACUCAUUGCGAAGGCGGCCUGCUAGAACAUAACUGACGCUGAUGCGCGAAAGCGUGGGGAGCAAACAGGAUUAGAUACCCCAGUAGUC
RNAcentral lists this ribosomal RNA (440 nucleotides) under uncultured bacterium. RNAcentral describes it as "partial 16S ribosomal RNA". It matches the Rfam family "Bacterial small subunit ribosomal RNA", at positions 338 to 795 of the family's 1533-position model. The record is from RNAcentral.